GUACUGAUGAAGAGUCCCAAACUAGGAUGAAACAGAGGUCCAGUAC
Molecule: non-coding RNA, 46 nt
Organism: Trichobilharzia regenti
Lineage: Eukaryota; Metazoa; Platyhelminthes; Trematoda; Strigeidida; Schistosomatidae
Source: Rfam